CCUUUGACGUUAGCGGCGGACGGGUGAGUAACACGUGGGUAACCUACCUAUAAGACUGGGAUAACUUCGGGAAACCGGAGCUAAUACCGGAUAAUAUUCGAACCGCAUGGUUCGAUAGUGAAANAUGGUUUUGCUAUCACUUAUAGAUGGACCCGCGCCGUAUUAGCUAGUUGGUAAGGUAACGGCUUACCAAGGCGACGAUACGUAGCCGACCUGAGAGGGUGAUCGGCCACACUGGAACUGAGACACGGUCCAGACUCCUACGGGAGGCAGCAGC
This 277-nucleotide ribosomal RNA is filed under the name uncultured Staphylococcus sp. RNAcentral's name for it is "partial 16S ribosomal RNA". It matches the Rfam family "Bacterial small subunit ribosomal RNA", at positions 83 to 355 of the family's 1533-position model. Lineage: Bacteria; Bacillati; Bacillota; Bacilli; Caryophanales; Staphylococcaceae. The record is from RNAcentral.